UCCGUGAGCCUGAGAAACAGUGUGAAGAUUGUGAUCAUUGCCCAGUAUGUUUACGCCAACUGCACACUCAGUGUGGAAAUUGCUACAGGAUGAGGGGUUUGGAGACAGAAACCGACUUGUAGCAGGCUCAGGGAAUGAACAGGAGGCAAGGACGCAGAGACAGCGUGUGGACACGCCUUUUUGUAGACUGGUGCUGUUCAGAGUGUGGUUCCAGGAUCAUGGCAUCAGCAUCACCUGGGAGUUAGGAAAGCAAAUUCCUGGUCCCCACCCCAGACCUCGGGUCAGAAUCUCCGGGAGGAGAGCCCAGCGGCCUCAUUUAACAAGCUCCCUGGGUGAUUCUGAUGCACACCAAAGCUAAAGAAGCCCCGUCCUUGCUGGAGAAGAGGCCAGGAGAAAGGGAAGCGGCUGGAGAACAACACAGGAUUAAAGGAUGAUUUUUGUUUUAAUGCAAAAAAAAAAAA
Molecule: non-coding RNA, 461 nt
Organism: Microcebus murinus (gray mouse lemur)
Lineage: Eukaryota; Metazoa; Chordata; Mammalia; Primates; Cheirogaleidae
Source: RefSeq, a predicted model, not a curated record